ACUCCUACGGGAGGCAGCAGUGGGAAUAUUGGACAAUGGGGGAAACCCGUAGCAUCCAGCAAUGCCGCGUGUGUGAAGAAGGCCUGCGGGUUGUAAAGCACUUUCAGUGGUGAGGAGGUUACUUUGAUUAAGAGUUAAAGUAAUGGACGUUAACCACAGAAGAAGCACCGGCUAACUCUGUGCCAGCAGCCGCGGUAAUACAGAGGGUGCAAGCGUUAAUCGGAAUUACUGGGCGUAAAGCGCGCGUAGGUGGUUGAUUAAGUCAUAUGUGAAAUCCCC
This 279-nucleotide ribosomal RNA is filed under the name uncultured bacterium. Its description in RNAcentral is "partial 16S ribosomal RNA". It matches the Rfam family "Bacterial small subunit ribosomal RNA", at positions 335 to 604 of the family's 1533-position model. The record is from RNAcentral.